Lampris incognitus (smalleye Pacific opah) is the source of this 353-nucleotide long non-coding RNA. RefSeq lists it as uncharacterized. NCBI's taxonomy places the organism in Eukaryota, Metazoa, Chordata, Actinopteri, Lampriformes, Lampridae. The transcript has 3 exons. The record is from RefSeq and is a predicted model, not a curated record.
GAGGACCUGAGAGAGAGGCCCCCACACUGGACACAUUUAAAAGCAGUCUUCACGAAGGCUUUGUGGGCUGUCAGAUCCUGGCCUUAACCAAAGCUUACUUCUCUGGUUUGGCUCAUAAAGGGGUGCAUGAGCUCAUCGGUGAUGGUGCCUGUUCCCUGGCCAGUCAUGUCGGUUGGUAACAUGGUGUAUCACUGAUACCCACUUCUCUUUCAGCACUUUGGCAUCACCCUCACAGGAAACACAAACUUCAUUCAUUCAUUCAUUCAGAUGCAUUCGGGCAUCUGAUUGUGAUGCCUCUGGGGCACCUUCCUUUGGAGGUUUUCCAGGCACAUCCGACUGAGAAGAGACCGUGG